UCUGCAACAAUCAACUAUGUCAAAUUAUAUUAUUUUUUUGACUGGAAAAUAUACAAGACAAGUAACUCAAAAUGCGAAACAAAUUAUAAAACUAACAUAAUUCACUAUGACAUGUAAAUAAAAUUAAAAUUAUAAGCUUAGAAAGUAAGAAUUAUUUUUUAUUUAACUGCAAAAUGCAUAUACGUUUUUUUUUAUUACAAAGAUGGCUAACAUCCAACCAGACUACAAAAAAGCUAAACGAGGGCGGUAACCCCAAAUUGUCUGCCAUCAUGAUAUCCCUAUAAAAUCUCGAGGACAAUCAUCAAAAUAAACACAACCAUUUAUCAGAGAACAAUCAUGGUUGACUAAUGCAUCCGCCAUCUGAUUAGCUUCACAGUACGAAUGUUGCUAAACGCAUAUACAUUUAUUCGUCAAGCAAAACGGCAUUGCAUAUAAUGAACAUUGAGUAUGUGCACAAUCGAAGACAUUAGUACAAUUAUCACCUAUAAUGUAAAACAAUAAUAAAAUACUAUAAUUAAAAAGAAUUGGAAGAUUACGUAUAAGAUAAAAGAGACAGCAUGAAAAUGAAGAUAAAAUAGGCUUACUAGAGUUUGUUGCAACAAAAAGUAGGAAAAUUAAGAAAAUCAUAACAUUCACAAACUUGAGAAUCGUAGUCAUUUUUCUUCUUCUUUUGUAUAUAGCAAGCUAGCUAUACAAACUAUUUCAUCACUUUAUAUAAUAUA
RNAcentral lists this long non-coding RNA (722 nucleotides) under Trifolium pratense (red clover). RNAcentral describes it as "long non-coding RNA (TPRA_LNC003199)". Lineage: Eukaryota; Viridiplantae; Streptophyta; Magnoliopsida; Fabales; Fabaceae. The record is from RNAcentral.